This 253-nucleotide ribosomal RNA is filed under the name uncultured prokaryote. RNAcentral describes it as "partial 16S ribosomal RNA". It matches the Rfam family "Bacterial small subunit ribosomal RNA", at positions 524 to 776 of the family's 1533-position model. The record is from RNAcentral.
UACGUAGGUGGCAAGCGUUGUUCGGAAUUAUUGGGCGUAAAGGGUGCGUAGGCGGCUUGGUGGGUCUGGUGUGAAAGCCCCGGGCUCAGCCCGGGAAGGGCGCUAGAAACUGCCGAGCUCGAGUGCCGGAGGGGAGAGUGGAAUUCCUGGUGUAGCGGUGAAAUGCGUAGAUAUCAGGAGGAAUACCGGUGGCGAAAGCGACUCUCUGGACGGCAACUGACGCUGAGGCACGAAAGCGUGGGGAGCAAACAGG